RNAcentral lists this transfer RNA (63 nucleotides) under Cryptotermes secundus. Its description in RNAcentral is "tRNA-Glu". It matches the Rfam family "tRNA". Rfam says of the family: Transfer RNA (tRNA) molecules are approximately 80 nucleotides in length. Their secondary structure includes four short double-helical elements and three loops (D, anti-codon, and T loops). Lineage: Eukaryota; Metazoa; Arthropoda; Insecta; Blattodea; Kalotermitidae. The record is from RNAcentral.
AUUUAUGUAGUUUAACAAAAACACUACAUUUUCACUGUAGAAAUAAAGGAACUUUCAUAAAUA